UACGUAGGGUGCGAGCGUUAAUCGGAAUUACUGGGCGUAAAGGGCGCGUAGGCGGCCUUCUAAGUCAGACGUGAAAUCCCCCGGCUUAACCUGGGAACUGCGUCUGAUACUGGAGGGCUUGAGUAUGGGAGAGGGAUGUAGAAUUCCAGGUGUAGCGGUGAAAUGCGUAGAUAUCUGGAGGAAUACCGGUGGCGAAGGCGGCAUCCUGGACCAUUACUGACGCUGAGGCGCGAAAGCUAGGGGAGCAAACGGG
This 253-nucleotide ribosomal RNA is filed under the name uncultured bacterium. Its description in RNAcentral is "partial 16S ribosomal RNA". It matches the Rfam family "Bacterial small subunit ribosomal RNA", at positions 524 to 776 of the family's 1533-position model. The record is from RNAcentral.